GUGGCUCAGUAGAAGAGCUCUGGCUCUGCGUGCAGAAGGUCCUGGGUUCAAUCCCUAGCAUUUCCA
This 66-nucleotide transfer RNA is filed under the name Sphaerodactylus townsendi. Its description in RNAcentral is "tRNA-Ala". The record is from RNAcentral. Lineage: Eukaryota; Metazoa; Chordata; Lepidosauria; Squamata; Sphaerodactylidae.